GCUUACGGCCAUACCACCCUAACACGCCCGAUCUCGUCCGAUCUCGGAAGCUAAAGCAGGUCGGGCCUGGUUAGUACUUGGAUGGGAGACCGCCUGGGAAUACCAGGUGCUGUAAGCU
This is a ribosomal RNA of Labrus bergylta (ballan wrasse), 118 nucleotides long. The record is from Ensembl. NCBI's taxonomy places the organism in Eukaryota, Metazoa, Chordata, Actinopteri, Labriformes, Labridae.